Molecule: long non-coding RNA, 2126 nt
Filed under: Mytilus galloprovincialis (Mediterranean mussel)
Lineage: Eukaryota; Metazoa; Mollusca; Bivalvia; Mytilida; Mytilidae
Source: RNAcentral
CCUGAGGAUAUAACGAGCAAUUUGGAAAAAUAAAUUUGUCGGUUUUCUUAUACGGUUGCGAAGCCUUAGAGAUAACAAGAAAAACAGUGUUCGGGGAGAUAACUCUUACAAGGUAAAGUUUUUUGUUACGCGUGUCCAGUUUCAGAAGCAUAUUAACUGUUCGAUAUCAUAUACCAUAUAUCUAAGCGACAUCUUGUGAAACAAAAAAACAGCGAAGGAAAAAAAGUUGGCGGAAGAAAAAAAAAAAAUAAUAAUAAAAAACCAAUUGUUCAAAGAACAAUUGAAGGUCUUUCAACAAUAAAGGAUCUAUUUUGAUAUGAAAAUAUUAAAAUUCAGUUAAAAAUGUCAGUUCCUAUGGCUUUAUGAUGUUAUAAAUAUGAAUUUGAAAGCAAAGGUCAAAAUCUAGAACGUCCAAUUUACCUAUGACCUUGACCUCAAUUUCAAGGUCAUAGAACAUAGGACAUCUCAAAUCAAAAGACCCUAGUUCUGUUAAUAUGUAUUGUUCAUGAGUAAUAUCACUUUACGCAUAAUUCUAAAUAUAAGAGGGCGAAAACUCCCAUUUAUUGUCUACGCACCCUUGCAACCAAAAUUUAUAAGUUAACGACAUGUCGCAACUAACAAUUUAGUAAAAAUAAUUUGUCGAAUAUCUUAUAAGGUUAAUUGAAAAUAAGUGAAAAUAAGCCAAAAAUCAAAAUUUAGAAUUUGACCUUGACCUUUGACCUUGACCUACUUUUCAUUUUUUUGGACCAAGGAUCUAAAAUCAAAAGACCUUAGGUCUCUCUAUCACUUAUGGUUUACCAGUUAGAAAUGCAUAUCACCUAUAUCAUACACAAAAGGGGGGAUAACUCUCAUAUGGAGUCUCCGGAUAGCUUUGGUCAAAAUAAAUCAAGUCAUCCUGAGGAUAUAACGAGCAAUUUGGUAAAAUAAAUUUGUCGGUUUGUUAUUACGGUUGCGAACCUUAGAUAACAAGAAAAACAGUGUUCGGGGAGAUAACUCUUACAAGGUAAAGUUUUUUGUUACGCGGUUGUCAGUUUGAGAAGCGUAUUAAACUGUUCGAUAAUCAAUAUACCAUAUAUCUAAGCGACAUCUUUGAAACAAAAAACACGCGAAGGUAAAAAAAGUUGGCGGAGAGAAAAAAAAUAAUAAUAAUAAAAACCAAUUGUUCAAAGAACAAUUGAAGGUCUUUCAACUAAUAAAGAUCUAUUUUGAUAUGAAAAUAUUAAAAUUCAGUUAAAAAUGUCAGUUCCUAUGGCUUUAUGAUGUAUAAAUAUGAAUUUAAAGCAAAGGUCAAAAUCUAGAACGUCCAAUUAACCUUUGACCUUGACCUCAAUUUCAAGGUCAUAGACUUAACAUCUCGAAUCAAAAGACACUAGUUCCUUAAUAUGUAUGGUUCAUGAGUAAUAUCACUUUACGCAUAAUUCUAAAUAUAAGAGAGGCAAAAACUCCCAUUUAUUGUCUACGCACCCUUUCAAUCAAAAUUUAUGAGUUACGACAUGUCGCAACUAACAAUUUAGUAAAAAUAAUUUGUCGAAAUCUUAUAAAGUUAAUGAAAGUAAGUGAAAAUAAGCCAAAAUCAAAAUUUAAAAUUUGACCUUGACCUUUGACCUUGACCUAAUUUUCAUUUUUUUGGACCAAGGAUCUUAAAUCAAAAGACCCUAGGUCUCUAUCACUUAUGGUUUACCAGUUAGAAAUGCAAAUCACUUAUAUCAUAUAUAAAAGGGGGAUAACUCUCAUAUGGAGUCUCCGGAUAGCUUCGGUCAAAUGAAACAGAACAUCCUGAGGAUAUAACGAGCAAUUUGGAAAAAUAAAUUUGUCGGUUUCUUAUACGGUUGCGAAGCUUAGAGAUAACAAUAAAAACAGUGUUCGGGGGAGAUAACUCUUAUAUGGGAAAGUAUUCGGUUAAGCAGAGUUGGUUUCAAAAGCGUAUAAACUGUUCGAUAUCAUAUUUCAAAUAUCUAAACGACAUCUUGCGAAACAAAAAAACAGCAAAGGUAAAAAAAGUUGGCGGAAGAAAAAAAAAAAUAAUAAUAAUAAUAAUAAUAAUAAUAAUCAGAACAAAACCUAUAGGUCUUUCAACUGAAAGGUUGAAAGACCUAAUAAUCAGAACAAACCCUAUAGGUCUUUCA